CCUACGGGUGGCAGCAGUGAGGAAUAUUGGUCAAUGGCCGCAGGGCUGAACCAGCCAAGUCGCGUGAGGGAUGACGGUCCUAUGGAUUGUAAACCUAUUUUGUCAGGGAGCAAAGGGGACCGAGUGUGGCGUUUUGCGAGUACCUGAAGAAAAAGCAUCGGCUAACUCCGUGCCAGCAGCCGCGGUAAUACGGGGGAUGCAGGCGUUAUCCGGAUUUUUUGGGUUUAAAGGGUGCGCAGUCGGAAUGACAAGUCAGCGGUAAAAUUUCGGGGCUCAACCCCGUCGUGCCGUUGAAAAUGGCGUUCUUGAGUGAGCGAGAAGUAUGCGGAAUGCGUGGUGUAGCGGUGAAAUGCAUAGAUAUCACGCAGAACUCCGAUUGCGAAGGCAGCAUACCGGCGCUCAACUGACGCUCAUGCACGAAAGCGUGGGUAUCGAACAGGAUUAGAUACCCGGGUAGUC
Molecule: ribosomal RNA, 459 nt
Filed under: uncultured bacterium
Lineage: Bacteria
Description: partial 16S ribosomal RNA
Rfam family: Bacterial small subunit ribosomal RNA
Source: RNAcentral